This is a non-coding RNA of Violaceomyces palustris, 83 nucleotides long. Lineage: Eukaryota; Fungi; Basidiomycota; Ustilaginomycetes; Violaceomycetales; Violaceomycetaceae. The record is from the annotation of a GenBank genome assembly.
GGCACUUUAGCUCAGUUGGUUAGAGCGUUCGCUUAACACUCCUUUCGAACAGAUCCUCUGUUCAAAUCAUCCGCGAAAGGUCC